GAUGAACGCUGGCGGCGUGCCUAAUACAUGCAAGUCGAGCGAACGGACCAGAAGCUUGCUUCUCUGAUGUUAGCGGCGGACGGGUGAGUAACAUGUGGAUAACCUACCUAUAAGACUGGGAUAACUUCGGGAAACCGGAGCUAAUACCGGAUAAUCUUUUGAACCGUAUGGUUCAAAAGUGAAAGUCGGUCUUUCUGUCAGUAAUAGCUGGAUCCGCGCUGCAUUAGCUAGUUGGUAAGGUAACGGCUUACCAAGGCAACGAUGCAUAGCCGACCUGAGAGGGUGAUCGGCCACACUGGAACUGAGACACGGUCCAGACUCCUACGGGAGGCAGCAGUAGGGAAUCUUCCGCGAUGGGCGAAAGCCUGACGGAGCAACGCCGCGUGAGUGAUGAAGGUCUUCUGAUCGUAAAACUCUGUUAUUAGGGAAGAACAUAUGUGUAAGUAACUGUGCACAUCUUGACGGUACCUAAUCAGAAAGCCACGGCUAACUACGUG
Molecule: ribosomal RNA, 497 nt
Filed under: uncultured bacterium
Lineage: Bacteria
Description: partial 16S ribosomal RNA
Rfam family: Bacterial small subunit ribosomal RNA
Source: RNAcentral